This 73-nucleotide microRNA precursor is filed under the name Pelobates cultripes (western spadefoot toad). The record is from RNAcentral. Lineage: Eukaryota; Metazoa; Chordata; Amphibia; Anura; Pelobatidae.
UGUGUAUGUGUGUGUGUGUGUGUGUGUGUAUCUGACACACAGAUACACACACACACACACACACACACACACU